CAACUUUCAGCAACGGAUCUCUUGGCUCUCGCAUCGAUGAAGAACGCAGCGAAAUGCGAUAAGUAAUGUGAAUUGCAGAAUUCAGUGAAUCAUCGAAUCUUUGAACGCACCUUGCGCCCCUUGGCUAUUCCGAGGGGUGCCUGUUUGAGUAUCAU
This 155-nucleotide ribosomal RNA is filed under the name uncultured Thelephora. RNAcentral's name for it is "5.8S ribosomal RNA". It matches the Rfam family "5.8S ribosomal RNA". From Rfam's summary of the family: 5.8S ribosomal RNA (5.8S rRNA) is a component of the large subunit of the eukaryotic ribosome. The record is from RNAcentral. Lineage: Eukaryota; Fungi; Basidiomycota; Agaricomycetes; Thelephorales; Thelephoraceae.